UGCUGUCUGUGAAGCUGAAUCUGUGAGGAACACCUCACUAUUCACGGCAACCGGAGUGGAAGAAACAGGUGCAAAAAGACUGUGUGUUUGUCUGCUUUUGUGAGGCUGGUCAGAGAUUCUGUGCCUGCUUUAUCUGUGCUUGGCUAUGACUCUACCUCCAGGUUUACCAUACCCCAUAGAAUGUGUAAGAGAAAAGUACCAACAGGGAAAUCAGCAAAAAGCUUUCCUAUGAAGGUGUAGCCAGCCUCCGCAGAAUUUGAAAUGUCUGAGGUCUCAUCUGGUGAGUAAAAGCUGCAGAUAAAUGCAACAGCCAUUCAGAAGAAUGAUAAAUUCCACAAGCAUUCAGAAGCAGGCUUCCCUAAAGAUGAAAGAGAAGAUG
This 379-nucleotide small RNA is filed under the name Pan troglodytes (chimpanzee). Its description in RNAcentral is "processed transcript". Lineage: Eukaryota; Metazoa; Chordata; Mammalia; Primates; Hominidae. The record is from RNAcentral.